Molecule: ribosomal RNA, 275 nt
Filed under: uncultured prokaryote
Description: partial 16S ribosomal RNA
Rfam family: Bacterial small subunit ribosomal RNA
Source: RNAcentral
UACGUAGGGGGCGAGCGUUGUCCGGAAUUACUGGGCGUAAAGGGUGCGCAGGUGGCGAUUUAAGUUGGAUGUGAAAUCCCCGGGCUUAACCUGGGUGGUGCAUUCAAAACUGGAUGGCUAGAGUGCAGGAGAGGGAAGCGGAAUUCCGAGUGUAGAGGUGAAAUUCGUAGAUAUUCGGAGGAACACCAGUGGCGAAGGCGGCUCACUGGCUCGAUACUGACGCUGAGGUGCGAAAGUGUGGGGAGCAGACAGGAUUAGAUACCCCCGUAGUCCCU